RNAcentral lists this ribosomal RNA (349 nucleotides) under uncultured bacterium. RNAcentral's name for it is "bacterial SSU rRNA". It matches the Rfam family "Bacterial small subunit ribosomal RNA", at positions 1 to 334 of the family's 1533-position model. The record is from RNAcentral.
GUGAGUAGUUCAGAGUUUGAUCCUGGCUCAGGAUGAACGCUAGCGGCAGGCUUAACACAUGCAAGUCGAGGGGCAGCAUGAGACGGAGAUUCGUCAAAGUCUUGAUGGCGACCGGCGCAAGGGUGCGUAACGCGUGAGCAACUUGCCCGUUUCUGGGGCAUAACCGGUGGAAACGCCGACUAAUUCCCCAUAGUAUUGAUUCCAGGCAUCUGUUAUCAAUUAAAGAAUUUCGGAAACGGAUAGGCUCGCGUGACAUUAGCUAGAUGGCGGGGUAACGGCCCACCAUGGCGACGAUGUCUAGGGGUUCUGAGAGGAAGGUCCCCCACACUGGAACUGAGACACGGUCCAG